RNAcentral lists this ribosomal RNA (504 nucleotides) under Burkholderia sp. EPML210. RNAcentral's name for it is "bacterial SSU rRNA". The stretch from base 55 to 504 matches the Rfam family "Bacterial small subunit ribosomal RNA", at positions 1 to 497 of the family's 1533-position model. Lineage: Bacteria; Pseudomonadati; Pseudomonadota; Betaproteobacteria; Burkholderiales; Burkholderiaceae. The record is from RNAcentral.
AGAGCCGGGAGCGAAAGAGCAAGGGGGGCAAGGCGAAACAGAAAACAAGGCACAGAAGGUAUGAGUUUGAUCCUGGCUCAGAACGAACGCUGGCGGCAGGCUUAACACAUGCAAGUCGAGCGCAUCCUUCGGGGUGAGCGGCAGACGGGUGAGUAACGCGUGGGGAUGUACCCAGAGGUGUGGAAUAACUGUGGGAAACUACAGCUAAUACCGCAUACGCCCUUCGGGGGAAAGAUUUAUUGCCUUUGGAUCAACCCGCGUCAGAUUAGCUAGUUGGUAGGGUAACGGCCUACCAAGGCGACGAUCUGUAGCUGGUCUGAGAGGAUGACCAGCCACACUGGGACUGAGACACGGCCCAGACUCCUACGGGAGGCAGCAGUGGGGAAUAUUGGACAAUGGGCGCAAGCCUGAUCCAGCCAUGCCGCGUGAGUGAUGACGGCCUUAGGGUUGUAAAGCUCUUUUAACAGGGACGAUAAUGACGGUACCUGUAGAAUAAGCCCCGGC